CCGGAUGAACUAGCAUGCGAGUCAUUGUAGUAAUACAAGGCAGACGGCUCAGUAACGCGUAGUCAACCUACCCUAUGGACGGGGAUAACCUCGGGAAACUGAGAAUAAUACCCGAUAGAACAUUAUGCCUGGAAUGGUUUAUGUUUCAAAUAAUUUAUUGCCGUAGGAUGGGACUGCGGCCUAUCAGUUUGUUGGUGAGGUAAUGGCCCACCAAGACUAUUACAGGUACGGGCUCUGAGAGGAGUAGCCCGGAGAUGGGUACUGAGACACGGACCCAGGCCCUAUGGGGCGCAGCAGGCGAGAAAACUUUGCAAUGUGCGAAAGCACGACAAGGUUAAUCCGAGUGGUUUCUGCUAAAGGAACCUUUUGUCAGUCCUAGAAACACUGAUGAAUAAGGGGUGGGCAAGUUCUGGUGUCAGCCGCCGCGGUAAAACCAGCACCUCAAGUGGUCAGGAUGAUUAUUGGGCCUAAAGCAUCCGUAGCCUGCUUUGUAAGUUUUCGGUUAAAUCCAUAUGCUCAACGUAUGGGCUGCCGGGAAUACUGCAAAGCUAGGGAGUGGGAGAGGUAGACGGUACUCGGUAGGAAGGGGUAAAAUCCUUUGAUCUAUUGAUGACCACCUGUGGCGAAGGCGGUCUACCAGAACACGUCCGACGGUGAGGGAUGAAAGCUGGGGGAGCAAACCGGAUUAGAUACCCGGGUAGUCCCAGCUGUAAACUAUGCAAACUCAGUGAUGCAUUGGCUUGAUGCCAAUGCAGUGCUGCAGGGAAGCCGUUAAGUUUGCCGCCUGGGAAGUACGUACGCAAGUAUGAAACUUAAAGGAAUUGGCGGGGGAGCACCACAAUGGGUGAAGCCUGCGGUUCAAUUGGAGUCAACGCCGGG
RNAcentral lists this ribosomal RNA (879 nucleotides) under uncultured archaeon. RNAcentral describes it as "bacterial SSU rRNA". It matches the Rfam family "Archaeal small subunit ribosomal RNA", at positions 33 to 922 of the family's 1478-position model. The record is from RNAcentral.